GUGCCAGCAGCCGCGGUAAUACAUAGGGGGCGAGCGUUAUCCGGAAUUAUUGGGCGUAAAGGGUGCGUAGGUGGCAAUGAAAGUCUUUGGUUAAACUUCUGGGCUCAACCCAGUUUUGCCAAAGAAACUUCAUAGCUAGAGUAUGGUAGAGGUGAGUGGAAUUCCAUGUGUAACGGUAAAAUGUGUAAAUAUAUGGAGGAACACCAGUGGCGAAGGCGGCUCACUAGACCGAGACUGACACUGAGGCACGAAAGCGUGGGGAGCAAACAGGAUUAGAUACCCUGGUAGUCCACGCUGUAAACGAUGAGUACUAAGUGUUACCGCAAGUAGCCGCUGAAGUUAACGCAUUAAGUACUCCGCCUGAGUAGUACGUACGCAAGUAUGAAACUUAAAGGAAUUGACGGGAGCCCGCACAAGCGGUGGAGCAUGUUGUUUAAUUCGACGAUACGCGAGAAACCUUACCAGGUCUUGACAUCCUUUGCGAAUCUAUAGAGAUAUAGAGGAGGUUAGCAGAGAGACAGGUGGUGCAUGGUUGUCGUCAGCUCGUGUCGUGAGAUGUUAGGUUAAGUCCUGCAACGAGCGCAACCCUUAUUGCUAGUUACCAUCAUUAAGUUGGGGACUCUAGCGAGACUGCCAGUGAUAAACUGGAGGAAGGCGGGGAUGACGUCAAAUCAUCAUGCCCCUUAUGACCUGGGCUACAAACGUGCUACAAUGGCUGCUACAAAGAGAAGCGAACAUGUGAAUGAAAGCAAACCUCAUAAAGGCAGUCUCAGUUCGGAUUGAAGUCUGCAACUCGACUUCAUGAAGUUGGAAUCGCUAGUAAUCGCAGAGGAGAGUGCUGCGGUGAAUACGUUCCCGGGCUUUGUACACACCGCCCGU
RNAcentral lists this ribosomal RNA (879 nucleotides) under uncultured rumen bacterium. RNAcentral's name for it is "bacterial SSU rRNA". It matches the Rfam family "Bacterial small subunit ribosomal RNA", at positions 505 to 1397 of the family's 1533-position model. The record is from RNAcentral.